RNAcentral lists this ribosomal RNA (250 nucleotides) under uncultured prokaryote. RNAcentral's name for it is "partial 16S rRNA". It matches the Rfam family "Bacterial small subunit ribosomal RNA", at positions 525 to 775 of the family's 1533-position model. The record is from RNAcentral.
ACGUAGGUGGCAAGCGUUGUCCGGAAUUAUUGGGCGUAAAGCGCGCGCAGGUGGUUAUAUAAGUCUGAUUUUAAAGUUCGGGGCUCAACCCCGUGAUGGAUUGGAAACUGUAUAACUUGAGUACAGUAGAGGUAAGCGGAAUUCCCAGUGUAGCGGUGAAAUGCGUAGAUAUUAGGAGGAACACCAGUGGCGAAGGCGACUUUCUGGACUGUAACUGACACUGAGGCACGAAAGCGUGGGGAGCAAACAG